GAUGUAUUUGCCGUUUCUUAAACACAGUAGUUAGAGAUCAAGCAGACCCAAAUCCUCAUAAUCACUAUGGCCACAAAUGGAUGGCGACUGCGUAGCUGAGCAAAGCAAGGUGCACAUGCCACUUAUAUACUGGGAGGAGUGUGACUGAACCCAGCAAAGAUGUCAGCCCUCAAGGUGAAAGGCAUAGCACACUUAUGUUUCACAGAAAAUGGAUCAACAUUUUGUGGACUCCUUGUGACCGAAUCACGAGAGCAAUAUUCAGUUAGAGGACGCUGUCACAUCUCGCACAAUCAUGUGGACACCCACGAGUGUUGUUUUGACGAACAUGCAUCUCUUAUGGAAUUGACUGUCACAGAUCAUGGGGACUUUGACAACCAAUACAUCAUAUCUGACGUCAUGAAGUCAGGGGGAGACAACUGUUCUCUAACAUCAAAUCAUAUUGAGUUCCAUACAGAUCAACUCCUAGUAGACGCCAAAGCUGAUAAAUGUAUAGAGAAGUUCUUUUCAAAGUCACUGACUGGGAAGAAUUGCGUUGUGUGUGUUGGUGAAAUGAACAUCAAUUACCGCAAACCUGAUACAGACACUGAAGUUGACAAGUGAAAUCAAUAACAUGUGACAAGAGUCAAUGAUGUUACAUUUUUGUUGGCAUACAUGGACAAGAGCACGUGUUUUGUUUGUUUCAGUUUUUCUUCACACCAUGUAGUGAACUCAAACAUGGAAAAUGUAAAGUUUAUAUAAUUUGUGAAAUGAAAGCGAUUAUUUUCUUUGAAUUAAAUAAGAUCGUUUCA
Molecule: long non-coding RNA, 788 nt
Organism: Haliotis rubra (blacklip abalone)
Lineage: Eukaryota; Metazoa; Mollusca; Gastropoda; Lepetellida; Haliotidae
Exons: 2
Source: RefSeq, a predicted model, not a curated record